This 2063-nucleotide long non-coding RNA is filed under the name Triticum aestivum (bread wheat). RNAcentral describes it as "long non-coding RNA (TAES_LNC026179)". Lineage: Eukaryota; Viridiplantae; Streptophyta; Magnoliopsida; Poales; Poaceae. The record is from RNAcentral.
AACCAGAAGGAAUCUGCACAAGUACUUCACAUUCAUAUUAUAAAUUCUCUUCAUCAAACAUUUACAAGCUUACAAUAUAUGCAAUUCACUGAUUACGUGUGAAGAAUUACAUCAUAAUUUAGUAUCUGCAGUUUCAAGGCGUCCAAGUUGUACAGAAUGGAACAAGCACAAAGAGUAAAGCUUGUAAGGUCUUCUAGGUGAGCUCAAAGCAUAUGGUUACGGCAAGGUAUCUUAACCCGUCUUCAGGAACAUUUCCAACCUGGACAGUAAGAGAAAAAUUGAAAAAUACAUAUAUAAUAAAACAUUAUCUGCAUUACAUUGAUUUACAACACUCAAAAGAGUCUAUUGAGUGCACCAUUCCUGUUUUAUAAGACAUACGUCUACAACAUCAAGAGAAUUUCUAAUCAAAUUUCCUUUCAAGGCAUCAACUGAAUAUUCAAUUUAAUAGGAAAAUAAAAAAUGUCAGCAGUUUCAUGCAUUGACACGUAAAUUAAGCACAUUUAGCUCACCGCAAUUACAUCAUAUGAUUACCUAUGAUAUAAAUUUUAGUUUCCUGUAUGUGAAGAUUCCAUAGAACACCGUCCAGAAAACUGCACAUAAGACAAAAUAGGAAGUGAUUAAAGCAAGUGACAUCCACAACUUGUAUGAAUUUUUGACAUCAUAGGAUCUUGUAUUUUGGUAUAAACACACAAAGAAUGUAGUUCAAGAUAUGAAAUAGUUUCAUCCCAUGGAAAACAGCAAAAUUCAAACAUUUUUCUAGCACAAACAUGACAGUAGUAUAGAAACCAAAAUGUUUGGUGUUAUGUUGAAGUGGUUUACAACAUUCUUACUAGUCUUUUGGGCUCCCAGUCACAUGUGCCAAUGUUCUUAUCCAAUGUACUAGCACUUUCUGCAAAAAAAUAGAACAAGUUAGAUGUCACAAAGAUGGUGCUGUUUCCAGUCUUACAUGGUCAAUCAGUUGGCAAACAUAUAUGCAGAACACCUAUUUAAUCACAAAUUGAGUGGCCCGAGACAUGCAACAAAAUAGACGCGUAGUUGACAGAACACCUGUUUCUACUAGUAUUGAUUUUAGACUUCCAGUGUGUAUCUAUAGCAAGAUUCCUGUUGAGUACAAAAUACUGAACAGUAAUGCCAGGUCUAACCACUUUACACAUGGAAAGGUACAUUUAUCCUAAACAAUGCAAGCCGGUUAUAACUUAAUUAGUCUAUGAAAGAUGAUGCAGGACCAUAGAGAUAAUCGAGGAUGUGAUUCCAUUUUGCUUGUCUUAAGGAAAAAGGAGUAUUAGAUCAAGGAGAAGUAUUGGACUAUGCGUAGGAAUACAAGUGAAGGCAACACCUAUGCUAUUCAUAAAUGAUUCUACGACUGGCAGACCAAGACACUGCUUCAAGUACUGGCCCAAUAACAAAAGACUAAGCUUUAGAAUACACAGGACAUGCAAAAGCUUAGUUCCUGGACAUGCGCACACUGGACAUGUAAAAGGUUCCACUAAUUGUAUGCAUAAAAAGGCUAAGCACAUUCAGGAGAAGCAUAGUUCAUAUCUUUACUGCAGUUUCAUUUGCAUGAAGCAUAUAGGAAACAAAAUUCUAAAUAAAGUUUCAAUGUUCUGAAAUAGCAACAAGCAUGUAUCUGAAAGCAAAAUACUAAAUCCAAGACUUAUCUACCAAGAUAAACUGCCCCCCAUACCUCACCCACGCUAAUAUGCAGUGGCAUCUAUCUAUUAUAUAUUAAAAAGGAAAAUAGGGAUCAAGAAUAGAGGAUUUACUAGAAAUUCUCACAUUAAUCAGACACAUCGGACCGUUAGUUUGGUGGACCCUCCAUUAAUGAGUAAAUUACGACCAUUAGAAAGGCAGACCCACACCAAUUUUGAUGUAUGACGUCCUGGACUUGAACUCUUGAUUAGUUCAGUAGAUAAAAAGAGAUCAUUUUUAAUUCUGCUUGCGUGACAACAAAACAGCGGCGUCCCGUGGUUAUCCAGGAAAUAAAAGAGCAGCGUCCUGUAGAAAAAAGCAGUGGCAACUACGUUUAUUCACAAAGGAAAAAAAACAUCGGCAAGGGCAUGGUC